AGGUGCCCAGGGAUCAUUUCUGUAGUUCAUUACUAGAGAAGUUUCUCUGAACAUGUAGAGUACCUACAACCACAGGGAGGAGGUGCAGUGUCCUUUCCUGAGUAUGAAGCUGGCUUUGGUGUUGCUUUUACAGCUGCUUUUUACCCUUGGUGAUGGUUCUUUUCCUCCUUUGAGCGAUUAAGAAGAAAGGGACAUGGUCUGGGUGGC
Molecule: small nucleolar RNA, 207 nt
Gene: U3
Rfam family: Small nucleolar RNA U3
About the family: Small nucleolar RNAs (snoRNAs) are involved in the processing and modification of rRNA in the nucleolus. There are two main classes of snoRNAs: the box C/D class, and the box H/ACA class.
Source: Ensembl